GAUGAACGCUGGCGGCGUGCCUAAUACAUGCAAGUCGAACGAAACUUCUUUAUCAUCGAGUGCUUGCACUCACCGAUAAAGAGUUGAGUGGCGAACGGGUGAGUAACACGUGGGCAACCUGCCCGAAAGAGGGGGAUAACACUUGGAAACAGGUGCUAAUACCGCAUAACCAUGAACACCGCAUGGUGUUCAUGUGAAAGGUGGUUUCGGCUACCGCUUUCGGAUGGGCCCGCGGCGCAUUAGCUAGUUGGUGGGGUAAAGGCUUACCAAGGCAAUGAUGCGUAGCCGAACUGAGAGGUUGAUCGGCCACAUUGGGACUGAGACACGGCCCAAACUCCUACGGGAGGCAGCAGUAGGGAAUCUUGCGCAAUGGGCGAAAGCCUGACGCAGCGACGCCGCGUGAGUGAUGAAGGCCUUCGGGUUGUAAAGCUCUGUGGGGCGAGACGAAUAAGUGCGGCCGAAUACGCUGUAUGAUGACGGUAUCGCCUUAGCAAGCACCGGCUAACUCUGUGCCAGCCGCCGCAGUAA
Molecule: ribosomal RNA, 528 nt
Filed under: uncultured bacterium
Lineage: Bacteria
Description: partial 16S ribosomal RNA
Rfam family: Bacterial small subunit ribosomal RNA
Source: RNAcentral